Molecule: transfer RNA, 87 nt
Filed under: Cordylochernes scorpioides
Lineage: Eukaryota; Metazoa; Arthropoda; Arachnida; Pseudoscorpiones; Chernetidae
Description: tRNA-Tyr
Source: RNAcentral
GCCCUCGAGCCGGAUUUGAACCAGCAACCUAAGGAUCACCGUUGAUACAUCUACAGUCCUUCGUUCUGCCAACUGAGAUAUCGAAGG